This is an RNA transcript of Lepidothrix coronata (blue-crowned manakin), 4272 nucleotides long. It is a transcript of the gene named prolyl 4-hydroxylase subunit alpha 2, with no coding region annotated. The transcript has 14 exons. Lineage: Eukaryota; Metazoa; Chordata; Aves; Passeriformes; Pipridae. The record is from RefSeq and is a predicted model, not a curated record.
GGGGCGGGGCCAGCAGGGGGCGGGGCCCGAGCGGCGGCGCGGCUGGAACGGCCCGGGCGGUUCUAGAAACGGGGAGCGGAGAGGGCGGCACGGAGCGGGACGGGGUGCUCUGUGAGGGUGGAGCUGAGCUGAGCGGCCACUGCAGCCAUCUUUACCAGAGUAAUACUUCAUCUUUCUGGCAUUAAGGACUUGGAAAUAAUCCCACAGGUUUGAGCUGUCUGGAAGAUGAAGCCCUGGCUGCAGUUGGUGUUCUUCACCUGUGUUUUGUUCUGGCUCACAGAAGCAGAGUUCUUCACCUCCAUAGGUCAAAUGACAGACCUGAUUUAUGCAGAGAAAGACUUGGUCCAGUCUCUAAAGGAAUAUAUUCGAGCAGAGGAGAACAAGCUCUCUCAGAUUAAAAGUUGGGCUGAAAAAAUGGAUGCACUGACCAGCAAAUCAACCUCUGAUCCAGAAGGGUACCUGGCACACCCUGUCAAUGCAUACAAGCUCGUGAAGCGUUUGAACACUGACUGGCUGGAAUUGGAAAACCUGGUUCUUCAGGAUACAACACAUGGCUUUAUUGCAAAUCUGACAUUCCAACGCCAGUUUUUUCCGACUGAGGAGGAUGAGACUGGAGCUGCGAAGGCUCUGAUGCGUCUGCAGGACACCUAUAAACUGGAUCCUGAAACUCUGUCCCGAGGGAACUUACCAGGAGCAAAAUAUAGAUCCACCUUGACAGUAGGUGACUGCUUUGGCAUGGGGAAGACAGCCUACAACGACGGGGACUAUUAUCACACCGUGCUCUGGAUGGAGCAGGCCCUGAAGCAGCACGACGAGGGGGAGGAAACUGCAGUCAGCAAAGUGGAGAUCCUGGAUUAUCUCAGCUAUGCUGUGUUCCAGUUUGGGGACCUGCACAGGGCCAUGGAGCUCACCAGGCGCCUGAUAUCCCUGGACAGCACUCACGAGAGAGCAGGCAGCAACCUGAGGUACUUUGAGAAGCUGCUGGAGAAGGAAAGAGAGGAGAAGGAGAGAGAAAAGCCAGUAAACAGGACCAGGACAACGACAGAAGCUGUGGUGCAGAGUGGAGCCUAUGAGAGGCCUCUUGACUACCUGCCAGAGCGGGACAUCUACGAGGCCCUUUGCAGAGGGGAAGGGGUGAAAAUGACACCUCGAAGACAAAAAAGGCUGUUUUGUAGGUACCACGAUGGAAACAGAAACCCCCACCUGCUCAUAGCUCCCUUUAAGGAGGAGGAUGAAUGGGACAGCCCUCAUAUUGUACGAUACUAUGAUGUCAUGUCUGAUGAAGAAAUCGAGAAAAUUAAACAACUAGCUAAGCCAAGGCUGGCACGAGCCACAGUACGUGAUCCCAAAACCGGUGUCCUUACAGUGGCUAGCUACAGGGUGUCAAAGAGCUCAUGGUUGGAGGAAGAUGAUGAUCCUGUUGUGGCCAAGGUGAACCAACGAAUGCAGCAGAUCACAGGGCUGACAGUGAAAACAGCCGAGCUCUUGCAGGUUGCCAACUACGGAAUGGGAGGGCAGUAUGAGCCACACUUUGAUUUUUCUAGGUUAUCAUGCAGGCCUGUUGCAUGGAUGGACUGUGACUUUUGGAAAGCCUUUGCACUGCCUUCUCUGAUGCUGACAGUUCAAGAGAAUAACGAACAGAUCUUCCUGCAUAUCUCUGUGACCUCGAUUCCUUGCACAGUAUAGACAGUAAAAGAGUCAUGUAGCACUUGAGUGUGCUCUUUCCAUUGCUUCAUUUGUAAACUGGGGUCUGCAAGCCCUGAGUUGUGAGUUUGCCUUGUUCCAUUAGGCUUUUGAGUUCAACAAGGUUGUUCAAAUCCUGUUUUGCUGGAUGUUUUAAAGCAUUUUGCAGGAGGUGGCCGAGGAGGAGAGAUCCUCCACCUUCCCUCCAAAAAAAGCCAUUAUGGAAGUCCUCACAGGUCAUACAGCCCUUCUGGCAAAAGCCUUAUUGUGGCUGCAGCUCUGGGCUCUCAAGAGGGUAUUAUGAUGUUAGUUUUUAGCAUUUGGACAGUGUCCUGUUCAGGCUGGACACUAAGAAGAAUUUCUUCAGCAAGGGUGAUUAACAUUGGAAUGGGCUGCAAGGGAGGUGGUGGGGUUACUGUCCCUGGAGGUGUUUUAGGGAAAGGCUGGACUGGCACUGAGUGCCCUGGUCUGGUUGACAAGGUGCUGUUUGGUCACAGGUUGGACUUGAAGAUCUCAGAGGCCUUUUCCAGCCUCACUGAUGUGGGGUUGGUGUUAAGGAGGACAGUGCUCCAGGGAGCAGGGGAAUGUGCUGGUGGUGGGUGCUGGAUCCACACCAGGCACUAGAGGGCUCUGCCUGGCAGAGAACAGCUCUGGUUUGCUCCAGGCUGGGAGAAAAGAAGAGCAAAUUCUUAAUAAUUACCCUGAGCCACUUCAUGAACCUGCUAAUCACACUGAAGAGCUGUAGUGACUGGUAGUUUCAAAUAUAAAACCCAUCUGAUGUCUUGCUUUCUGUGGUACUUCAGUGGAAUCUGGCUUAAUUCAGACUGUCAGGGUGGUUUUACCUGGUAGAAGGGAUUGCUGCAGCCAGAGCACACAACCCAACAGCUGAGUGCAGAAUUGAAGCCACCCAACUUAGCACUGUUUAAAAAAUAAAAUAAAAAAAUCCUGAGUUUCAACACCAUGGAAGCUCAUACUUGUUAGCUUUGGCCCGCUGAGACAAUUUUCCUGUUAGCUUUGACUGCUUCGUUUCCUGAGUCGAGCAAAUGCUCUCAAAUUCUCUUCAAAGCCUUUGAACUCAAAGGACCUCAGGCAUCAAACUGGCCAGUGUGGGCUUUGCUGUUGGAAGAGGCAGCUGGGGCAGAGCUCCACUUGGAACAUGCCCUUGGCUGCAGGGUCAGCCGGGGCCGGGCGGUCGCAGAGGUUGCUGCAGUUCUGGGCUGGUCCUGCAGGCUCUCUGUGCACCACAGAUUUUCUGUGAUCAGCCUUGCAGCUUUUUGUUUCCUCUCAGUUCUCAAAUAGGGGCACUUCAAUAGUUGCAUAUUGCAACUUGGAGAUUUUAGUAAUUGUUCGAGUUAGACAUUUAUUUUUUUUUUUUUUUGCUCUUGAAGUUCAGAAAUUCAUGGGUUUCACAUCAGUGGCAGUAACCAGGGAAUCCCCUGUAUCUCAGUGCUCCAGUGUUGGCUCUUUUGGGUUGAAUUUGCACCUGCACAGUCCUGGGGAUUUUGUGAACCCAUUUCAGGAAAGGCCUCUUAUUUCUUAAAAUAUAUUUCAAGUAGAUUGAACUAUAACACCUUAGAGACAGUGGCUGUGGUUUUCCUUACUGUUUGUCUUUUUAAAUACUGAUUUAUUCUUUAAAUGUUAAAUAUUGUUUUUGUGUGUAAGAAUGCACUUGAAGAUCUCCUGACUGAAAUGAUUUCCUGACUAUUAGCAAUGUAAAUAACCUUCAAACAAAUGAAAUGAAAAGUUAAGAGAGACACUGGUAUUCUAGAUUUUCUUUCUGCUUCUAAACUGGCACCAGUGAGAUCUCCUACUUUGACAAAUGAAACUCAAUUUUUCUUACAGAUUAAAGACAAUUUGAUCUUUUUGAUGUGGUCUUUAGUUGUAGACAGGCAACCACCUGAAAGAAGUUCAUUAUUGCUACUCUACAGUUUUGUCUGCUGGCAAAAAAAAAAAUGCAUAUUCUCCUCUCAUGACAGUAUUUCUUUGAGUUGCUGUGUCUAUGAGAAUCUGCUGUGUUAUCUAGAGCCCAGUGAAGAUUAGGUUUUUUUGUAUUCACCUCAGCUGUUGACUUUGGAUGAGUGCCCAGGACAACAAUGGCCUGUUGUUAACCUUCCUUGGCUAACGUGUGUGCCACAGGCACUGCUUCUGCUCUGCCCUCAGAAUGGCUUUGGUGCAGCUCCUCCGUGCAUGCAGCUUGGGAUGGCUUCCCUGUCGCCCCAGUGAACUGUCCCCUUUCUCUGCCAGCUCUUUAAACUGGGCCUGAGGAUCUCUGCAGAGCUCCUGUGGCUCUGGUGGGAGCCUGUGUGGAACUGGGGUUAAAGUUGUUGUCUGUUGCAGCGCCCCUUUGACAGCACACUCAAAUCGGAAGGAAAUAGGCUAGCGACGUUUCUUAACUAUGUAAGUACCUCUGUCUGUCUGUCUGCUGUCUGAGAGCUCGAAAUUUGCAGUUUGUUCUCAUUUUAUAGAAAGAUGAGCCAGAUGCUUUCAAGCGGUUAGGGACUGGAAAUCGUGUGGCCACUUUUUUAAACUAUAUGAGCGACGUAGAAGCUGGAGGAGCUACAGUUUUCCCAGAUUUUGGGGCAGCAAUAU